GGUUAAGUUAGGAAGGGCGCAUGGUGAAUGCCUUGGUACUAGGAGCCGAUGAAGGACGGGACUAACACCGAUAUGCCUCGGGGAGCUGUAAGUAAGCUUUGAUCCGGG
Molecule: ribosomal RNA, 108 nt
Filed under: Pediococcus pentosaceus
Lineage: Bacteria; Bacillati; Bacillota; Bacilli; Lactobacillales; Lactobacillaceae
Description: partial 23S ribosomal RNA
Rfam family: Bacterial large subunit ribosomal RNA
Source: RNAcentral